Molecule: ribosomal RNA, 292 nt
Filed under: uncultured bacterium
Lineage: Bacteria
Description: partial 16S ribosomal RNA
Source: RNAcentral
GGACUACCGGGGUAUCUAAUCCUGUUUGCUCCCCACGCUUUCGCACCUCAGCGUCAGUACCGGACCAGUAAGCCGCCUUCGCCACUGGUGUUCUUCCUAAUAUCUACGAAUUCCACCUCUACACUAGGAGUUCCACUUACCUCUUCCGGACUCUAGAUUGCCAGUAUUAAAGGCAGUUCCAGGGUUGAGCCCUGGGAUUUCACCCCUAACUUAACAAUCCGCCUACGUGCGCUUUACGCCCAGUAAAUCCGAACAACGCUAGCCCCCUUCGUAUUACCGCGGCGGCUGGCAC